GAUGAACGCUGGCGGCGUGCCUAAUACAUGCAAGUCGAGCGAACAGACGAGGAGCUUGCUCCUCUGACGUUAGCGGCGGACGGGUGAGUAACACGUGGAUAACCUACCUAUAAGACUGGGAUAACUUCGGGAAACCGGAGCUAAUACCGGAUAAUAUAUUGAACCGCAUGGUUCAAUAGUGAAAGACGGUUUUGCUGUCACUUAUAGAUUGAUCCGCGCCGCAUUAGCUAGUUGGUAAGGUAACGGCUUACCAAGGCGACGAUGCGUAGCCGACCUGAGAGGGUGAUCGGCAACACUGGAACUGAGACACGGUCCAGACUCCUACGGGAGGCAGCAGUAGGGAAUCUUCCGCAAUGGGCGAAAGCCUGACGGAGCAACGCCGCGUGAGUGAUGAAGGUCUUCGGAUCGUAAAACUCUGUUAUUAGGGAAGAACAAAUGUGUAAGUAACUAUGCACGUCUUGACGGUACCUAAUCAGAAAGCCACGGCUAACUACGUG
RNAcentral lists this ribosomal RNA (497 nucleotides) under uncultured bacterium. RNAcentral describes it as "partial 16S ribosomal RNA". It matches the Rfam family "Bacterial small subunit ribosomal RNA", at positions 28 to 507 of the family's 1533-position model. The record is from RNAcentral.